This 1455-nucleotide long non-coding RNA is filed under the name Olea europaea subsp. europaea. Lineage: Eukaryota; Viridiplantae; Streptophyta; Magnoliopsida; Lamiales; Oleaceae. The record is from RNAcentral.
CUUCAUACAUUUUAAUUUCUAUAUACAAAUCAUGUACGGAUCUUUCCAAAAUCAAUGGGGCUAAAUAGUACCGUUAGGCAAGUGACCAUUAGGGAAGACAGUCCAGGUGAUUCAUCAAAGUGAGGCAAAAGAGUAUACAGAAAGAAAACGUAAGAAGAAGACAUCAAUCUAUACAUACUGUAAGAAAGUUACCUUCAUUCUUCAUCUUCCACUUCUUCUGCCCGAUUGCUGUUGUCGCCUCCACCUCCACCUCCACCGACGCCAAUCGGACUGUUUAACUGUAAAUAAUUGUUGGAAACAAAGUCCACCUCCAUCAAAGGAUUACUCCAGAAUGCAGCCGCCUUCACCAACGUACUAGAAUUAGGUAGAAGAAUCGGCCACCGACCUUUAACAUCUAUAUAUAUCCUUGCUGCUUGUAUUUGUGUGUGUGUGUGUGUGUGAAAGCGUGUGGGACAGUGGGAUUGUGAAGAGAGCAGGAAGAAUAGUGAGGAGAGAUAGAGAGUGGAUCAUAGAAAGAAGCUGAGGAAGUAAUGUUAGCAGAGAGAGACUAGGAGAGUAAGUGGAGAGAAUCUGCCAUUAUACAAUUAGAGUGAAUAAGGAUAGUGAGAAUUAAAUAUGAGAAGGGUAUCCUACAAAUAAAAUAAGUGUGAGUUUGUGUUCAAAUUGUGUAAAAUUCAUUUCAUCAAUAAAAUUCUAUUUUCUUGGUGUUUAAAAUUCAAUACUUUGGUAUCAAAGCUCAACAGAUACUUCAUCAAUUUAUUAAUUUAGUAAAGUUGUCUCAAUUAUCUUCAAAAUAUACAACUCUGAUUGCAAUGGAAAGGUAACUUUUAACUUUUCAAAAUAUGAGACCCCGUAUAAUGCACUUGUCUAAGUCUACUGUUCACAUUUACAGAGUAAGGUUGUAUUGUGUAUUUUUUUAAUACUUUAAGUUGUAUUGAAUUAUAUUUUCAUAUAUAUAUAAUUUUUACGUUUUGUUGCAUUUACAUAAAAAUUGAAGAAUUUUUAAUAUUAUUUAAUUAAAUAUUAAUAAAUAAACUCGCAAUUACGAUUUUUGAUUGUCAACGUUCACAUGCCAAUGGUCAACAGUCCACCCUACGGUCAACGAUCCGCUCUAGCUGACAUUAGACCCUGGAUUCGCCCCUGGGGACCAGUAGUUAAUCUCAAGGGAAUCUAAUCUAUCUUCAAUGCACUAAUAUGUCCCUCCUUCACUCCACCCAAAACAAAGACAAGGAAACUCUAUGCGACUUGGGCUUUCUUGUAUGUAAUAAAGUUGGGUGCUUGAAACUUCUAAUCCAUGUCCUUGUAAUUUUGUGUUCGUACAAUCACCAUCCAAGGGAAACAACAAAAUAAUAAUUAACUGUUGGUUUAGAUAAGAAAAAGUUUAUACAAAUAUAAGUUAAAAUCAACAAUUAAUUUUAACCAUACAAUUCAUGUGAUCCACAAUUUUUAUCAACU